CGCUGGCGGCGUGCCUAAUACAUGCAAGUCGAACGCACAGCGAAAGGUGCUUGCACCUUUCAAGUGAGUGGCGAACGGGUGAGUAACACGUGGACAACCUGCCUCAAGGCUGGGGAUAACAUUUGGAAACAGAUGCUAAUACCGAAUAAAACUUAGUGUCGCAUGACACAAAGUUAAAAGGCGCUUCGGCGUCACCUAGAGAUGGAUCCGCGGUGCAUUAGUUAGUUGGUGGGGUAAAGGCCUACCAAGACAAUGAUGCAUAGCCGAGUUGAGAGACUGAUCGGCCACAUUGGGACUGAGACACGGCCCAAACUCCUACGGGAGGCUGCAGUAGGGAAUCUUCCACAAUGGGCGAAAGCCUGAUGGAGCAACGCCGCGUGUGUGAUGAAGGCUUUCGGGUCGUAAAGCACUGUUGUAUGGGAAGAACAGCUAGAAUAGGAAAUGAUUUUAGUUUGACGGUACCAUACCAGAAAGGGACGGCUAAAUACGUGCCAGCAGCCGCGGUAAUACGUAUGUCCCGAGCGUUAUCCGGAUUUAUUGGGCGUAAAGCGAGCGCAGACGGUUUAUUAAGUCUGAUGUGAAAGCCCGGAGCUCAACUCCGGAAUGGCAUUGGAAACUGGUUAACUUGAGUGCAGUAGAGGUAAGUGGAACUCCAUGUGUAGCGGUGGAAUGCGUAGAUAUAUGGAAGAACACCAGUGGCGAAGGCGGCUUACUGGACUGCAACUGACGUUGAGGCUCGAAAGUGUGGGUAGCAAACAGGAUUAGAUACCCUGGUAGUCCACACCGUAAACGAUGAACACUAGGUGUUAGGAGGUUUCCGCCUCUUAGUGCCGAAGCUAACGCAUUAAGUGUUCCGCCUGGGGAGUACGACCGCAAGGUUGAAACUCAAAGGAAUUGACGGGGACCCGCACAAGCGGUGGAGCAUGUGGUUUAAUUCGAAGCAACGCGAAGAACCUUACCAGGUCUUGACAUCCUUUGAAGCUUUUAGAGAUAGAAGUGUUCUCUUCGGAGACAAAGUGACAGGUGGUGCAUGGUCGUCGUCAGCUCGUGUCGUGAGAUGUUGGGUUAAGUCCCGCAACGAGCGCAACCCUUAUUGUUAGUUGCCAGCAUUCAGAUGGGCACUCUAGCGAGACUGCCGGUGACAAACCGGAGGAAGGCGGGGACGACGUCAGAUCAUCAUGCCCCUUAUGACCUGGGCUACACACGUGCUACAAUGGCGUAUACAACGAGUUGCCAACCCGCGAGGGUGAGCUAAUCUCUUAAAGUACGUCUCAGUUCGGAUUGUAGUCUGCAACUCGACUACAUGAAGUCGGAAUCGCUAGUAAUCGCGGAUCAGCACGCCGCGGUGAAUACGUUCCCGGGUCUUGUACACACCGCCCGUCACACCAUGGGAGUUUGUAAUGCCCAAAGCCGGUGGCCUAACCUUUUAGGAAGGAGCCGUCUAAGGCAGGACAGAUG
Molecule: ribosomal RNA, 1458 nt
Filed under: Leuconostoc mesenteroides subsp. mesenteroides
Lineage: Bacteria; Bacillati; Bacillota; Bacilli; Lactobacillales; Lactobacillaceae
Description: bacterial SSU rRNA
Rfam family: Bacterial small subunit ribosomal RNA
Source: RNAcentral